RNAcentral lists this ribosomal RNA (497 nucleotides) under uncultured bacterium. RNAcentral's name for it is "partial 16S ribosomal RNA". It matches the Rfam family "Bacterial small subunit ribosomal RNA", at positions 28 to 507 of the family's 1533-position model. The record is from RNAcentral.
GAUGAACGCUGGCGGCGUGCCUAAUACAUGCAAGUCGAGCGAACGGACGAGAAGCUUGCUUCUCUGAUGUUAGCGGCGGACGGGUGAGUAACACGUGGAUAACCUACCUAUAAGACUGGGAUAACUUCGGGAAACCGGAGCUAAUACCGGAUAAUAUUUUGAACCGCAUGGUUCAAAAGUAAAAGACGGUCUUGCUGUCACUUAUAGAUGGAUCCGCGCUGCAUUAGCUAGUUGGUAAGGUAACGGCUUACCAAGGCAACGAUGCAUAGCCGACCUGAGAGGGUGAUCGGCCACACUGGAACUGAGAUACGGUCCAGACUCCUACGGGAGGCAGCAGUAGGGAAUCUUCCGCAAUGGGCGAAAGCCUGACGGAGCAACGCCGCGUGAGUGAUGAAGGUCUUCGGAUCGUAAAACUCUGUUAUUAGGGAAGAACAUAUGUGUAAGUAACUGUGCACAUCUUGACGGUACCUAAUCAGAAAGCCACGGCUAACUACGUG